RNAcentral lists this ribosomal RNA (989 nucleotides) under Endomicrobium sp. Its description in RNAcentral is "bacterial SSU rRNA". It matches the Rfam family "Bacterial small subunit ribosomal RNA", at positions 1 to 988 of the family's 1533-position model. The record is from RNAcentral. Lineage: Bacteria; Pseudomonadati; Elusimicrobiota; Endomicrobiia; Endomicrobiales; Endomicrobiaceae.
UUUAUGGAGAGUUUGAUCUUGGCUCAGAGUGAACGCUGGCGGCGUGCUUAACACAUGCAAGUUGUGCGAAGUCUUACAGAACAUCGUAGGAUUUAGCGGCAAACGGGUGAGUAACGCGUAGGAAAUCUUCCUUAAAAUGGGGGAUACCUCAGAGAAAUUUGAGUUAAUACCGCAUAAGACCACAGUUUGGCAUCAAACAGAGGUUAAAGCAGAAAUGCGUUUUAAGAUGAUCUUGCGUCCUAUCAGCUAGUUGGUAGGGUAAUUGCCUACCAAGGCGAUGACGGGUAUCCGUCCUGAAAGGGUGAACGGACACACUGGAACUGAGACACGGUCCAGACUCCUACGGGAGGCAGCAGUAAGGAAUAUUGGUCAAUGGAGGGAACUCUGAACCAGCCAUGCCGCGUGCAGGAAGACGGCCUUAUGGGUUGUAAACUGCUUUUAUUAGAGGAUAAAAUGAGAUACGUGUAUCUUAUUGCAGGUAUCUAAUGAAUAAGCAUCGGCUAACUCCGUGCCAGCAGCCGCGGUAAUACGGAGGAUUCGAGCGUUAUCCGGAUUCAUUGGGUUUAAAGGGUGCGUAGGUUGCAAAUUAAGUCAGCGGUGAAAAGGAGAUGCUUAACAUUUCCCGUGCCGUUGAAACUGAUUAGCUAGAAUAUUGGUGAAGUAUGCGGAAUGCGCAGUGUAGCGGUGAAAUGCAUAGAUAUUGCGCAGAAGGUCGAUUGCGAAAGCAGCAUACUAAUCGGUAAUUGACACUGAGGCACGAAAGCGUGGGGAUCAAACAGGAUUAGAUACCCUGGUAGUCCACGCUGUAAACGAUGAUAACUCGCUGUCGGCGCAUAGACGUCGGUGGUCAAGCGAAAGCGAUAAGUUAUCCACCUGGGGAGUACGACCGCAAGGUUGAAACUCAAAGGAAUUGACGGGGGCCCGCACAAGCGGAGGAACAUGUGGUUUAAUUCGAUGAUACGCGAGGAACCUUACCCGGGCUCGAACGG